RNAcentral lists this long non-coding RNA (403 nucleotides) under Salvia miltiorrhiza (redroot sage). Its description in RNAcentral is "long non-coding RNA (SMIL_LNC001984)". The record is from RNAcentral. Lineage: Eukaryota; Viridiplantae; Streptophyta; Magnoliopsida; Lamiales; Lamiaceae.
AAAAAAAAAAAGAAAAAAAAAGAAAAAAAAAAAAAAAAAAAGAAAAGAAAAAAAAAAAAAGAGAGAGAAAAUAAAGGUUGCACCAAGUUUGAAUUAGUAUACAUGCAUUGAGUUGUUUGAUGGUUGUUGCCCAUAGUUGAGUUGGAAGUUGCUCUUCAUAUGUUUAGAAUUCUUUGGGUGUGACUUGAUUCGAGCAUGCACGAUAUUUGAUCUUCAAUGUUUGAGCUUAGGACCCCUAGGAUCUUGCCUACAUCAUUGAUAGUCCUUAGCCCCAUUACAACCAAAGAAGAAAGACCUUUUUGAGCCAUAAUGUGACUGCGAAAUAUCAUGACUAAUUGGAGUUUCUUCUUGUGUGAGAAUUACCUUAUCUUAUGGAGAGAUUGAAUGAGCGUGAGAGUUGCAC